GCCCAGCCCCUGGCAGCACCCACGAUGCGGGACCUGCCUCUCACCGGCCUGGCCCUAGUGCUGUCCGCCCUGGGGGCUCUGCUAGGGACUGAGGCCCUCAGAGCAGAGGAGCCAGCUGUGGGCACCGGUGGCCUCAUCUUCCCAGAAGACUUGGACUGGCCGCCAGGCAGCCCACAAGAGCCUCUGUGCCUGGUGGCGCUGGGCGGGGACGGCAAUGGCAGCGGCUCCCCCUUGCGGGUGGUGGGGGCUCUGAGCGCCUAUGAGCAGGCCUUCCUGGGGGCUGUGCAGCGGGCCCGCUGGGGCCCCCGAGACCUGGCCACCUUCGGGGUCUGCAGCACCGGCGACAGGCAGGCUGCCUUGCCUUCUCUACGGCGGCUGGGGGCCUGGCUGCGGGACCCUGGGGGGCAGCGCCUGGUGGUCCUGCACCUGGAGGAAGAGCCUCUGCCCGUCCCGGGACACCCGCUACCUGGCGUUGGCGGUGGACCGCCCUGCGGGGGCCUGGCGCGGCUCCGGGCUGGCUUUGACCCUGCAACC
This 534-nucleotide small RNA is filed under the name Pongo abelii (Sumatran orangutan). RNAcentral describes it as "processed transcript". Lineage: Eukaryota; Metazoa; Chordata; Mammalia; Primates; Hominidae. The record is from RNAcentral.